Molecule: unclassified non-coding RNA, 20 nt
Filed under: Mus musculus (house mouse)
Lineage: Eukaryota; Metazoa; Chordata; Mammalia; Rodentia; Muridae
Description: oocyte_clustered_small_RNA9412
Source: RNAcentral
GGUUAUGGGGUCCAUACAAA